AAAAUGAAUGAAAACAGAGAAGCUUAGCACUCCCCUUGACAAGGAUGGAAGAGGCCCUCGGGCCUAACAACACCCACAUGAUUAAGGCUGCACCAGCCACAUCAGAGG
RNAcentral lists this non-coding RNA (108 nucleotides) under Mus spicilegus (steppe mouse). The record is from RNAcentral. Lineage: Eukaryota; Metazoa; Chordata; Mammalia; Rodentia; Muridae.